Molecule: long non-coding RNA, 2362 nt
Organism: Drosophila mojavensis
Lineage: Eukaryota; Metazoa; Arthropoda; Insecta; Diptera; Drosophilidae
Exons: 2
Source: RefSeq, a predicted model, not a curated record
CAACGACAACGUCGACUGCUGCCGGCUGAGGGCUGCUGCUGCUGCUGCUGGCUGACUGCGAGCAGUCGUCAGUCAGUUGGCGAAGAAACUGGUAGCGUCGGUGUUGCGAGCCAACAAAAGGCUGGCAGCUGGCAGCUGGGCAGCUGGCACAGUCACCGGCUCUGCCAGUGCCACGAAUGUUGUGUGUGUCUGUUGGCCAUAGGGCACGGGGCAGUGCUUUGGAUUGGCUUUGGCUUUGACUUUUGAGCGACGCGUAGCCAGCCAAGAAAAGUGGCCAGCCAACCAGUCAGUCAGCCAGCCAGCCACCGUACCAGCGAGCCAGCGAAUCAGCCAGCCAACAACAGCAAUUACUGGCCAAGAGGUGGUGAUGGUAAAGGUCCAAGAUGAUGAUGAGUACGCGCCAACAGACGUUGCCAAAGCAGUGCAGGAUGACAGUGAAGGAAUAUAUUUUUUGGCCGCAAACGCAGUUUGAUUAGCCAACUCAAACAGUGGUUUGACCCUGGCCAAGAUCGCCGCAAUGGACGCCAAUUGACAGGCACAGACACACUCGUACACACCCCACACACACACACAUGGAUUGGCACAGUGGUGCAGUGGAGCAGCAGCAACAGCUUCGCAGGAUGCGUUCGUCUCGAUUAUACAGCUUAAAAAAAAAAAAAAAACAAUAACAACAACAAAAACAAAUAAAAACGUGUCGCGCCGCAGCAACAACAACCAAACGCGCUGUGCUGUAUACGUGUGUGUGUGCGUGCGUGUGUGUGUGUGUGUGUGUGUGUGUGAGAACCUUUUGAGCUGACCAACGUGCGCCGUCAACUUUGUGGCCAGUGCCAAAAAACGAGGUGCGCCAAUGGAGCAACUGGCGUGAAGCCCAGAAAAAAAGUGCAGAGCCAGCAGCAACAGCAGCAGCAGCAGCAGCAGCAGUAACAACAGCAGCAACAAUUGCUGCUGCAACAACAGCAAGCUUUGUUUUAGCUGGCCGCUAAUGAUUUGCGAUGUCAGCGAUGUCCGCAAUGAAAUUUUGGCGCAAACCAAACGCGUGCGAAACCUCAAAGGAUGCGCAUCACGCGCAGAGGUAGCUACGAAUAUCAAGCAUACGCCGCGUGUAACUCAAAAACUUAAAAUACUACAAUUAUUCAAUAUUCAACUCUUACGUAGUGACUAGUGCUUAAACUUAUAAACAAUAUUUCAAAUAUUAAACACUAAAAUUAAAAUAAAUAAUCAAUAACAAGAAUAUAUAGUAGCCAACGUAGCGUCUAUGCCAAUUAUAUAAUCAAUUACAAGCAACUAUGAUAUAACCCAACACAUUAUAUAAACAUUAGUGCAAUAUCUAUACAUAAAUAAUUAAUCGUUAUGUAUAUAUUUAUACAUACAAUUAAUAUUGGUACUAAUUGGUAACUGACAGCACUCGUAGACAAUUUAUAUAUAAAUCAAUGAAAUUAUCUGCGUGGCUUUUGUGCAUCGCUGCGAGAGGAUUCGUUGAAAGCAACAGCAGGAAGAGGAGGAGCAGAGGCAGGAGGAUAACUGAGCGGUUCAUAGAGUGUCAAAAUGCGCUGCGUUAAAGGAGCCUCGUUGACCAAUUGGCAGCCACGGCCGCUGCAGCCUGUCCUCGGUCUGACCAGCCAAUGGCAGCGCAGCGGUUGAAAGUUCAAGUCGGCGGCAGGCAGAGUAAUGCACUUGGCAAACGCUCAAAGCUGACAGCAAUUCGCACACACACACACACGCAUAUAUGCAGAAACACCACUGUACACACAUACACGCACACAAGCAUAGUUUAAGAUGAGAAACAGAGAGGGAGCUACGAUUGCUGGGCUCACACGCGCAUGAGGAAAACGAUGAUAAUAAAUCACGCAUACGCCUGUUGGCACAGCAAGAACUAUGCUCCUACGACUGUGCUUGUGUGUGUCCCUGUGUAAGUGAGUGAGUCUCAGUGUGUGUGUGUGUCAAGACUUGCCCAGGCAGUUGGCCAACUGCAUUGCGCUGCUCGUUUUUAGCCCGGCUGGAGCGAACGUUGGCCGCAAGACAAUUGCACGAACGAUGCCUUCUUUGCAGGCAACGCAUUGGCCGGACGAAAUGCGCCCGAACGACCAAUCAGAGCGCAGCUUGUGCGCAACGCCCUUGGCCAAACAGAAUUCGGCGCCAACUAGCACAGCGAUGCCAGGACCCAGCGCCAAAUAACAUUUUGUAUAUAUAUAUUAUUCUUUUGAUUUUAGUUUUUAUCUCUCAGCUAUUCUAAGUAAAUUUGCCCGAAGCUUAUGCCUAUGCAAUAACAGCUAGCGUGGGCGUGAAUAGCUUAUCUACGAAUAUAUGAUAUAUAUGUAGACUUAAUUAAGAAUUUCAAAUAUGAUGAUUGCAAAAUGCGUAA